UCAAACGAGAAAGGCUUACGGUGGAACCUAGGCACCGCAGAGACGAGGAAGGGCGUAUUAAACGAGCAAAUGCUUCGGGAAGUUGAACCAUAAGCGGAGAUCCGGAGAUUCCCGAAUAGGUCAACUUCAACUUCUGCUGAUCCAUGGGCAGGCAAAGACAACCUGCGAAUGAAACAUCUUAGUAGCCAGAAGGAAAAGAAGCAAAAGCGAUUCCCGUAAGUAAGCGGCGAGCGAAAUGGGAGCAGCCUAAACCGUGAAAAAACGGGGUUUGUGGGAGAGCAAUAACAAGCGUCGUGCGCUAGGCGAAUCAGUGGAGUGCGCGUACCGCUAGAUGGUGAAAGUCCAGUAGCCCGAAAGCAUCAAAACUAAGCUUACGCUCUGACCCGAGUAAGCAUGGGGCAACGUGAAAUCCGUGUGAAUCAGCAAGGACCACCUUGCAAGGCUAAAGUACCCUGGUGACCGAUAGCGAGAGUAGUGACCGUGAGGGAAGGUGAAGAAGAACCCCCAUCGGGAGGGAAAAUAGAGAACAUGAAACCGUAAGCCUCUCAAGCAGUGGGAGGGGGGCACAUACCCUGACCGCGUGCCCUGUGAAGAAUGGAGCCGGCGACUCAUCAGCAAGUGCUUGGUUUAAGGGAACCCACCAGGAGCCGUAGCGAAAGCGAGUCCUCAUAGGGCAAUUGUCACUUGUUAUGACCCGAACCUGGUGAUCUAUCCAUGACCAGCGAUUGAAGCUUGGUGAAACUAAAGUGGAGGUCGACCGACUGAUUUGAAGAAUCAGCGGAAUGAGUUGCUGGUUAGGGGUGAAAUGCCAACUCGACCACGAGCUAGCUGGUCUCUCCCCGAAAUGCCGUGAGGCGCGCAGUGACUGGACAUCUAAGGGUAAAACCCACUGUUUCGGUGCGGGCCGCGAGAGCGUACCAAAUCGAGGCAAACUCCUGAAUACUAGAAUAUGCCUCUCAAAUAACAGGGGUAAAGGUCGGCCAGUGAGACGAUGGAUAACUUCAUCGUCGAGAGGGAACAGCCCGGAAUCACACAGCUAAGGCCCCUAAAUGCGCUCAGUGCGAUAAAGGAGGUAGGGGGUGCAGAGACAGCCAGAGGUUCUGCUAGAAGCAGCCACCCAUGAAAGAGUGCGUAAUAGCUCACUGAUCGGACGCUCUUGCGCCGAAGAUGAAACGGGGCUAAAGCGGUCUGCCGAAGCUGUGGGACUGUAAAAAAAGCAUCCGGUAGGGGAGCGUUCCGUGUUAGGGAGAAACGCCCGCGCGAGCCGCGUUUUGGACGAAGUGGCGGAAGCGAGAAUCGUCGGCUUGAGUAAUGCGCAAACAUUGGUGAGAAUCCAAUGCCCCGAAAAACCUAAGGUUUCCUGCGCAAGGUUCGUCCACGGAGGGUGAGUCAGGGCCUAAAAGAUCAGCGAAAGGCAGUAGUCGAUGGACAACGAGGUGAAUAUUCCUGUACUACCCCUUGUUGGUCCGAGGGAUGGAGGAGGCUAGGUUAGCCGAAAGACUGUGAUCGGUUCAAAGGACGCAAGGUGAACCCUGUUUUUCAGGGUAAGAAGGGGUAGAGAAAAUGCCUCGACGCCAAUGUGAGUACCAAGGCGCUACGGCGCUGAAGUAACCCAUGCAUACUCCCAGAAAAGCUCCGAACGACCUCAACAAAAGGGAACCUGUACCCGAAACCGACACAGGUAGGUAAGGUAAGAAUACCUAGGGCGCGAGACACCUCUCUCUAAGGAACUCGGCAAAAAUGCCCCCGUAACUUCGGGAGAUAGGGGUGCCCCUCACAAAGGGGUGAAGUGACCAGGCCCGGGCCGACUGUUUACCAAAAACACAGGUCUCCGCAAAGUCGUAAGACCGAUGUAUGGGGUGACCGCUGCCCAGUGCCGGAAGGUCAAGGACCAUUUGGGACCCUAGAUGACAGGGGAGCCGGCGACCGAAGCCCCGGUGAAGCGGCGGGCCGUAACUAUAACGUCCUAAAGGUAGCGAAAUUCCACUUGUCGGUAAGUUCCGACCCGCACGCAAGGCGUAAACGAUCUGGGACUGUCUCGGAAGAGAGCCCCGGUGAAAUAGACAUGUCUGUGAAGAUUGCGGGAACUACCUGCACCUGGAACAGAAAGACCCUAUAAAGCUUUACUGUUCCCUGGGAUUGGCUUUGGGCCUUCUCCUGCGCAGCUUGGUGAGAGGCGAUAGAAGGCCCCCUUCCGGGGGCCCGAGCCAUCAGUGCGAUACCACUCUGGAAGAGCUAGAAUCUAACCUUUGUGUCAGUAACGUACGGGCCAAGGGACAGUCCUCAAGGUAGACAGUUUCUCAUGGGGCGUAGGCUCCUCCCAAAAAGGUAACCGAAGCGUGCAAAGGUUUCCUCNNNNNNNNNNNNNNNNNNNNNNNNNGCCAAAAUCUGCAUCAUCUCAUAAUCUGGUAUUAUAAUAGUGAUCAUUAACCUCCAUCAUUAGCAGCACUUGGUNUAAAAAUGAAGAGAUGGAUGCAUAAUUGAGCAUGUAAUACCAUGUGAAUUCCAUCUAGAUCAUGAGAACCAAGAAUAGAAUACACUUACUAGUAUGGACCAUCUUUUGGUAGCAAGAAUACAAGGUUUCCCAUGAAAGUUCUUUAAUGGUUUUAAAACUCCCUAGCGCCGAAAAUCCAGUCUACUUUCUUUGGGACCCCUGAAAAAUAUGAAUGAGUUAAGUUUGCUUUAACAUGUUAGGUACUAAAUACUACAGAUGUGAAUCAAUCUGGGUGUGCGCCCCU
RNAcentral lists this ribosomal RNA (2738 nucleotides) under Chenopodium quinoa (quinoa). RNAcentral describes it as "bacterial LSU rRNA". It matches the Rfam family "Bacterial large subunit ribosomal RNA", at positions 1 to 2407 of the family's 2925-position model. Lineage: Eukaryota; Viridiplantae; Streptophyta; Magnoliopsida; Caryophyllales; Amaranthaceae. The record is from RNAcentral.